CUGUCGUGGGCGCUGGAGAACUGAGGGGGGCUGCUCCUAGUACGAGAGGACCGGAGUGGACGCAUCACUGGUGUUCGGGUUGUCAUGCCAAUGGCACUGCCCGGUAGCUAAAUGCGGAAGAGAUAAGUGCUGAAAGCAUCUAAGCACGAAACUUGCCCCGAGAUGAGUUCUCCCUGAGACUUAGAGUCUCCUGAAGGAACGUUGAAGACGACGACGUUGAUAGGCCGGGUGUGUAAGCGCAGCGAUGCGUUGAGCUAACCGGUACUAAUGAACCGUGAGGCUUAACCUUACAACGCCGAAG
RNAcentral lists this ribosomal RNA (301 nucleotides) under Salmonella enterica. Its description in RNAcentral is "partial 23S ribosomal RNA". It matches the Rfam family "Bacterial large subunit ribosomal RNA", at positions 2642 to 2925 of the family's 2925-position model. Lineage: Bacteria; Pseudomonadati; Pseudomonadota; Gammaproteobacteria; Enterobacterales; Enterobacteriaceae. The record is from RNAcentral. RNAcentral also lists the same sequence under 1 other name.